Corticium candelabrum is the source of this 308-nucleotide long non-coding RNA. RefSeq lists it as uncharacterized. The record is from RefSeq and is a predicted model, not a curated record. Lineage: Eukaryota; Metazoa; Porifera; Homoscleromorpha; Homosclerophorida; Plakinidae. The transcript is spliced from 3 exons.
GGACUAUCAAUUGGCCGGUAUACUUACUGCUGGUUUGCGGCGUCAUUUUCUCUACAGUACAGAAUUCAUCUCUAGAACAUACAGACAAGUCGUUCGUCAUGGUUGACUCUAACUCUCAGUUGGAAGACGCUUUGAGUGUACUGCUGGCUGACAACAACGCAGACGGCUGUGUCUUUCCUAGUCUCGUCGACGUUGACGUCAUUCGACUAGAGGAAGUUACCCUACCGAAGACAAAUCAAGAAAACCGAAAUUCGUGCAAUGUAGUGAACAAUUCAACUGUGCUGCAUUUCUCGCCACGCUGUUUGACU